This 384-nucleotide long non-coding RNA is filed under the name Carica papaya (papaya). Its description in RNAcentral is "long non-coding RNA (CPAP_LNC002835)". The record is from RNAcentral. Lineage: Eukaryota; Viridiplantae; Streptophyta; Magnoliopsida; Brassicales; Caricaceae.
CCCUGAUUCUGGUUCCUUGGGCACUCUCUUGCAUAAUGUUGGACACUACCACAUAUGCGACAGGUGUUGUUGAGGCGGUAGCAGGGUCGAUCCCCGUGAUCCCUGCUGUAAUGCUGACAGAUCUUACCACGUCCCACCACUGGAGCUUGAGGGCAAGCCUGGAUCACCGGCCUGGGCCUCUUGUUUUAUUGGACAGACACAGUAGGUGAUGGUCUGCGGGGUGGAGCUGAGGGUCUGAGGUUCCCUGAUGCCUGUGGGAGGUGGAAGCUCCUCUACACUAGUUGUGCCUUGGCCAGAACGGCUGAAUAGGUCUUGAGCUCCAGCAUGAACAAAUACUGCCUAUGGGAGGGUGUAGAAGCUCCUCUCCACUAGUUGUGCCUUGGC